RNAcentral lists this unclassified non-coding RNA (658 nucleotides) under Hevea brasiliensis (rubber tree). The record is from RNAcentral. Lineage: Eukaryota; Viridiplantae; Streptophyta; Magnoliopsida; Malpighiales; Euphorbiaceae.
UCUACCCUUGCUAGCUUUGUGAACCCACUAACUAGCUUGGCAAAACAAGGCGUAGCGUUGGCGCCUCGCCGAGCUCCCAUGCAAUAACGGCAUAGGACCCUCGUUCAUCUCACAAAUCACCUUGCUGGGAUAUUUAGGAUGAUCAGGAGAUGCCGGAGAGAUACAAUGUAUUGUAUACCUGGCAGGCUCGGACACCCAAGUUUGCUAGAGGAAGUUUGGUCCCAUCGCAGACGUGAGUUCUGGUGCCAAAUUCUACUUAUUUUUGCUUGAUUUUGAGAGAAUCUUCCUUGGCGAUGUAUAUUUCAGGUGCUGAUUGCCAAUAGAGAAGCAAAUAAAUCGGUCUCAAAAUUGAAUAAGAAACGGGGUUGGUGGACACCCUUGCUUUUCACAUCUGGUAUUACAUCUGCAAUAGCUUUCUUGAAGCAUGUUUUAAAUCAAAAUACCCUUGCACAAGCUCGCAGGAAUAUCUCUCAUCAUUAUGACAUGAGCAAUGAGAUUUUUGCUAUGUUCUUGGGUGAAACAAUGGCAUACUCCUGUGCAAUAUUUAAGACUGAAGAUGAAGACUUGAACACAGCACAACUGAGGAAAUAUUCCCUUCUGAUUGAAAAGGCACAAAUCAAUAAGGAGCAUGAAGUUCUUGAGAUCGGUUGUGGUUGGG